Molecule: transfer RNA, 28 nt
Filed under: Protea canaliculata
Lineage: Eukaryota; Viridiplantae; Streptophyta; Magnoliopsida; Proteales; Proteaceae
Description: partial transfer RNA-Leu
Source: RNAcentral
GAAAAUCCGUCGACUUUAUAAAUCGUGA